Molecule: ribosomal RNA, 426 nt
Filed under: uncultured bacterium
Lineage: Bacteria
Description: partial 16S ribosomal RNA
Rfam family: Bacterial small subunit ribosomal RNA
Source: RNAcentral
GUGAGGAAUAUUGGGCAAUGGGGGCAACCCUGACCCAGCGACGCCGCGUGAGGGAAGACGGCCUUCGGGUUGUAAACCUCUUUUGUACGGGAAGAAGGAAGUGACGGUACUGUACGAAUAAGUCCCGGCUAACUACGUGCCAGCAGCCGCGGUAAUACGUAGGGGACGAGCGUUGUCCGGAAUUACUGGGCGUAAAGGGCGCGCAGGCUGUGCUGCAAGUCAGCUGUGAAAUGUCUGGGCUUAACCCGGGCAUGCGGUUGAGACUGCAGUGCUGGAGUGCUGUAGAGGCAAGUGGAAUUCCCAGUGUAGCGGUGAAAUGCGUAGAUAUUGGGAAGAACACCGGUGGCGAAGGCGACUUGCUGGGCAGCAACUGACGCUGAGGCGCGAAAGCCAGGGGAGCAAACGGGAUUAGAUACCUAGUAGUCC